RNAcentral lists this ribosomal RNA (253 nucleotides) under uncultured bacterium. RNAcentral's name for it is "partial 16S ribosomal RNA". It matches the Rfam family "Bacterial small subunit ribosomal RNA", at positions 524 to 776 of the family's 1533-position model. The record is from RNAcentral.
GACGUAGGAGACGAGCGUUGUCCGGAUUUACUGGGCGUAAAGCGCGCGCAGGCGGCCCCGCAGGUCGGUUGUGAAAGCCCCCGGCUCAACUGGGGAGGGUCACGCGAUACUGAUCGACUCGAAGGCAGGAGAGGGUAGUGGAAUUCCCGGUGUAGUGGUGAAAUGCGUAGAUAUCGGGAGGAACACCAGUGGCGAAGGCGACUACCUGGCCUGUUCUUGACGCUGAGGUGCGAAAGCGUGGGGAGCAAACAGG